GAUGAAGAACGUAGCGAAAUGCGAUACGUAAUGUGAAUUGCAGAAUUCAGUGAAUCAUCGAAUCUUUGAACGCACAUUGCGCCUGCCAGCACUCUGGCAGGCAUGCCUGUUCGAGCGUCAUUUCAACCAUCAAGCCCUAGGCUUGCGUUGGAGCCCUGCGGCUGCCGCAGGCCCCUAAAAGCAGUGGCGGGCUCGCUAUCACACCGAGUGCAGUAGAUUACUCUUCGCUCAGGGCGUGUGGCGGGUUCCAGCCGUGAAACCCCCUACUUCUCAAGGUUGACCUCGGAUCAGGUAGGAAUACCCGCUGAACUUAAGCAUAUCAAUAAGCGGGGA
Molecule: unclassified non-coding RNA, 333 nt
Filed under: soil metagenome
Description: partial contains 5.8S ribosomal RNA, internal transcribed spacer 2, and large subunit ribosomal RNA
Rfam family: 5.8S ribosomal RNA (bases 1-120)
Source: RNAcentral